This 377-nucleotide unclassified non-coding RNA is filed under the name uncultured Actinomycetes bacterium. Its description in RNAcentral is "uncultured actinobacterium contains 16S-23S intergenic spacer region". The record is from RNAcentral. Lineage: Bacteria; Bacillati; Actinomycetota; Actinomycetes.
UCCGAUUUGGCACCGGCGGUCUCCCAUGAGUCCCCGGCAUGACCCGCUGGCAACGUGGGACAGGGGUUGCGCUCGUUGCGCCACUUAAGGCAACACCUCACGGCACAAGCUGACGACAGCCAUGCACCACCUGUCACCCGCCCCGAAGGACACCAUGUCUCCAUGGCUUUUCGGGUGAUGUCAAACCCAGGUAAGGUUCUUCGCGUUGCAUCGAAUUAAUCCGCAUGCUCCGCCGCUUGUGCGGGCCCCCGUCAAUUCCUUUGAGUUUUAGCCUUGCGGCCGUACUCCCCAGGCGGGGAACUUAAUGCGUUAGCUGCGGCACCGACGACGUGGAAUGUCGCCAACACCUAGUUCCCACCGUUUACGGCGUGGACUAC